GAGCACGUAGGUGGGUUUGUAAGUCAGCUGUGAAAUCCCCCGGCUCAACCGAGGAACUGCAGCUGAUACUGCCGGACUAGAGUGCGCGAGGGGAGAGCGGAAUUCCUGGUGGAGCGGUGAUAUGCGUAGAUAUCAGGAGGAACGCCGGAGGCGAAAGCGGCUCUCUGGUGCGCAACUGACGCUGAGGUGCGAAAGCUAGGGGAGCGAACAGGAUUAGAUACCCUGGUAGUCCUAGCCGUAAACGAUGGGCACUAAGUAGAGGGGUUUU
Molecule: ribosomal RNA, 268 nt
Filed under: uncultured bacterium
Lineage: Bacteria
Description: partial large subunit ribosomal RNA
Rfam family: Bacterial small subunit ribosomal RNA
Source: RNAcentral